This 1200-nucleotide small RNA is filed under the name Pan troglodytes (chimpanzee). RNAcentral describes it as "processed transcript". The record is from RNAcentral. Lineage: Eukaryota; Metazoa; Chordata; Mammalia; Primates; Hominidae.
CCCACGCCACUAUGCUAUCUCUAACUCUGCCAUCCAGACCGAGCAAACGUACUUAAGACCUUUGUGUAAGAUCAGAAAAUCAUAAGACAGCAUUAAAAGUACUAUACAGGAGGAGAUGGAACAAGAUGGCCAAAUAGAAGCCUCCAGCAAUCAUCUCCCCCAAAGGAAUUGAACAACUAUCAAAACAAAAUUGAACAACUAUCUAAACAAAAAAAGUACCUUCAUAAAAAGCAAAAAUCAGACUGCUUUUUGCCUUCUGCCAUGAUUGUGAGGCCUCCCCAGCCACGUGAAACCCUUGGCAGGUCACCUUGUUCUAGCAGAUAGAAACUGAAUCAAUAUGGGAAGAGCCAGAAUUUGGACAAGGUUCACCAAACAUUCACACUGAUGCCAGGUGGGCCAAGAAAAAGGGAAUGUCCUGCCUCUGAGACAUAUGAAGGAGGGUCUUUUCAUAUUAAAUUGUUUUCCUGGCAGCACCUGAACCAAAGGAUCAGACUUAAAAUAAGUCUUUUUCCAAUGUUAUGUUGAAAUUGGAUACGACAUUUCUCACAAAACUUCUAAGUCAAACAGUGAUGAGAAACUACUGCCUAAAAGUGGGCCUACAUCAAAUCAUUAUGUUCUCGUACCAAGAUGUCUUCUGACUGAGGAAGCUAAGAAUACGGCUCCUUGUUCUCACCAGUGGACUCUUCCUCAGCAGCAGGGGCUCCCUUCCCCACUACCCAUGAGGGAGAGGGUGGCAGUUCAACAGGAAAACGUUGAUAUUAUGGAUUCCCAUAAGGAUUCAUGUCUUCUAUUCACUUUAAUGAACAGUUGUAGGGCAACAAUUCUAGAAGAGUUCCAAUUCUCAUCAGGAGAAUGGACAAGGUGGAGAAGCAGAGAAAAUGCAAUGAGUAGAAUGUCUAAGUCAUCACUUUGGAAUUGACUGAACAUAAAUAAAAAUGAGAAAGAUACGUAAAAAAGAAGGGAAUGGAUGCCACAGCCCCCAUUUUGCCAACGAGGCAGCUGAGGUUCCCAGAGGCUCAAUACCAGCACCAUGGGCGGCAGCACGCAAGGCAAACACAGCCGGAGGAUUUUAAUGCCUUUUGUAAAGACCUGCCUAAUGGUUCUGCCUUCAGUGCAGACAAUAUGGAAGAGUGUGACAGAUGUUAUCAUUGCUCCAUUGUGUACGAGCGUAGGACGAUGCUUCUCUUCUGUCAGCCUGCA